GGAGCAAAAGUCGUAACAAGGUUUCCGUAGGUGAACCUGCGGAAGGAUCAUUAUUGUAUAACCGAGGUGCGAGGGCUGUCGCUGACCCGAAAGGUCGUGCACGCCCGAGUGCCCUCACACACAUCCAUCUCACCCCUAUGUGCACCACCGCGUGGGUCCCCCUUUGGCUUGUUCGGAGGGGGGCUUACGUUUUCACACAAACUUUGUAUGCAGUGUAGAAUGUAUUUUUUGUUUUUGCGAUCACGCAAUCAAUACAACUUUCAACAACGGAUCUCUUGGCUCUC
Molecule: unclassified non-coding RNA, 284 nt
Filed under: plant metagenome
Description: partial contains small subunit ribosomal RNA, internal transcribed spacer 1, and 5.8S ribosomal RNA
Rfam family: Eukaryotic small subunit ribosomal RNA (bases 1-53)
Source: RNAcentral